CACGUAGGGUGCGAGCGUUGUUCGGAAUUACUGGGCGUAAAGCGUGCGUAGGCGGCUAUGUAAGACAGAUGUGAAAUCCCUGGGCUUAACCUAGGAACUGCAUUUGUGACUGCAUUGCUAGAGUGUGGUAGAGGGAGAUGGAAUUCCGCGUGUAGCAGUGAAAUGCGUAGAUAUGCGGAGGAACACCAAUGGCGAAGGCAAUCUCCUGGACCUGCACUGACGCUCAUGCACGAAAGCGUGGGGAGCAAACAGG
RNAcentral lists this ribosomal RNA (253 nucleotides) under uncultured bacterium. RNAcentral's name for it is "partial 16S ribosomal RNA". It matches the Rfam family "Bacterial small subunit ribosomal RNA", at positions 524 to 776 of the family's 1533-position model. The record is from RNAcentral.